Long non-coding RNA from Humulus lupulus (European hop), 7598 nucleotides. RefSeq lists it as uncharacterized. Lineage: Eukaryota; Viridiplantae; Streptophyta; Magnoliopsida; Rosales; Cannabaceae. The record is from RefSeq and is a predicted model, not a curated record. The transcript is spliced from 7 exons.
UAUACACAUGACUAAUUGAUGUCAAUCUUCUGUAUUCUUCCAAAAAUACUACCGUCAUUUAUUUUCCAUAUUCUCUCUCUAACUUUGUAACCCUUCUCUUCUCCUCUCUGCUCUCUCUCGCUCAGUCGGUUUCUCCCCUAAAUCCCCAAAGCAACCAUCCCCUAAAUUCAUAAGUCCUGACGAACUCAGGAGCCCAGCAAUCCAGAUCAACACCAAACCCCCGUUGCUAGACUUCGAAGCCCAAACCCCCACCAAAUCGAACCCAUGUUUGUCGAAAUCAAAGCUGACAAGCACUUUCCAGCCUGUGUGACGUUCAGGGGAAGUGCUCACAUGAUGAUGAUUAUAGAGACAUUUCAAACGCAUGGUUUGAUUUAAAGGGCAAAUUCAUCCUUAUUCAUAUAUUUCUUCAAGGUGAAGGAGUUAAAGCUUUCUAGAGUCAUGAUGCACCAGUUAAUGUUGCGUAAGGUUGUGAGCAAGAAUCUUGAAUAUGGACAAUUCUAUGUGGGAAACAAACUCUGUAGAUUCGGUAUUGUGGAGUUUGAUUUAUUGACCGGUAUGAAUUUUAGUAAGACUUUGUCAACAGAUGAGUUCAAAGAGCAUGUGACCAGUGAUCGAUUGGUGAAGGAGUAUUUCAAUGAUGAUUUGAAAAUUAGUUUAGGUCAGUUGGAAGAUGCAUUUAAGGAUUGCAAAAACGUGGAAGAUGCUCUUAAGCUAGGUUUAUGUUAUUUUAUUGAAGGGGUACUAUAUGCCCCUGAGAACGCAACUAGCAUAUGGGGAGAUGUGGUAAAGUUGGUUGAGGACAGUCUUUAAGUAUCUAUGAGGGAAGCAGUAUUUCCAAAGGUUGAUUAAGGGAAAUCAAAGAGACAUGAAGCACCAACUGAAAUUGUAUGAGGAGAAAAAAAACACUAAGUCAGGGAAACAAAAAGAAGCAAAGUACAAUGGUUACGCCCCCGCAUUUUAGUAUUGGGCAUAUGAGGCCAUAUUGGAGAUUCUGAAGAAAUAUGCUGACAAGAGUGGUAACUAGAUCCUCAAGAUGCUUAGUUGGUCGACCAAGGGCGACAUCGUCCUUUCUACAGCUGGGGUUGCGCCAUGACUCGUGUAAAUUUCUCUAUGUUGAAGCCCCGGCCCUGUGAGGUAGAUUACUACAAUAGCCUCACAGGUGUUGAUAUGCAUAUAUACCAUGCCCUAAGAAUUAAUGAGGCCGACGUAGAGCUUGGGGAUGGAGUAAAAGCAAAUCCACAGAAAAUGGACAUUGAAGUUUGAGGAGAUUUUCACCUAGAAGUCAAGCUAAGGGUAGUUGUGGUGGAGUUUGGAGAUUAUUUUGGGGAAAUUGGAGUGGCUAAGCUUAACAUCUCAGCAAGCCUUCGAAUUUGGGUAGAGAAUUUCAGGGUUUUCCGCCAGGCACGGAUCAGGAUUAGCGCUUGGGUUCGUUCCACUAUUCGCACAAGGAUCGAGGUAAGGGUAAGGAGAAGCUUGGCUAGCCAUGAGUUGGAGAGUGUUAGGGGCGAUGUAACGCCCUGGAUAGCCAAGACCGCUACACUGUGUACUUAUAAAGGUGCAAGACUUGCUAAUCAAGCCGUUAUUUUAAAAACGUGUCAUCAAACAUGUAAAAGCUAGGGUUAAAAAGGUUUUGGUCUCAAAAGACUCAUUUUAUAUAAUUAAAUUGUUACGUACACGGGUUCCCAUAAGAAAACAGAGUUAAAAGUAAGUUUACAGACUCCCAAAGGUACAUAAGUAAUCACUGGCCAUUCUAGGGCAAAACAAACAGUCUUUGGGUCACGCGUCCCUGCCUAAACCUCAACCGUGGCGGCUGAGCAACUGGCUAUGUACAUUCCACUCGCUGAGCUCUCCAAUCAGGGCUGGUCCAACUUGCCCUUGCUUUUACCUGCACCAUGUAGCACCCGUGAGCCAAGGCCCAGCAAGAAAACAUCAUAUAUAACACAAUCAAUGAUAUCAAACAGUUAAACCAUCAAGCAUGAUUUCUCAUCAAUUAAUUCAGCACAUAUACUCAAAUUCAAGACACAAACAAUCACUCAUGUCACAUAAUAUUCAAGGCCGAUGACUUAGUCCGCACCCUCUGUUUAACCCACUGACUCCGGCCCGCUUAAACCGAGCUCAGUGCAUAAUAAGCUGUCCUCGGCUACCAAUGGCCGAGCCGCGCCCUGUGCGCUAUUGAAACUCUUGGCACCCUUAGGUCGUUGGUUCACUAAAUAGCUUGCAUGGCAUAAUACCAUCAUUUCAAGCCUUUACAAUAGGGAACCCUUAGUCUCGUCACAUAUAUUCAACCAGGUGUUGUUUUCUUACCUUUAGUCUGUACGGUUAUUGAUUAUGAGCAACGCUCCUCAAGCAUGAUCCGUUUCCGAGUCUAAGCUUUUAUCACCUAGUCAUAACCAAAGUAUAAGGUUCCAUUAAUAUUCAAAUAUAGGUUUUCGGUUACAAAACUAACUCCCGAGGAUCCGAAUUCCACCAAGCCCGGUGGUGAAACCAAUCCCGAGCAAACUAGACCACAUUCCCAUGCCUAAAAUCCUCAAAAGUUCAUGUGCACAACCAAGGGCUGCAGCCCUUGAAGCUUAGCCGCGGCCCUAGCCUCAAAACAGAACCAAGGCCAACCUGAACAAAGACACGUGCCGCGGCCCUUGCUUUGGGCGCUGUGGCGCCCACCCUUGGCCGAGCCUCCUUGGCUUUUCUUCAUCCUAGGGCUGCAGCGCUCUAGAACAGAGUCGCGGCCCUUCCCUUCGAACCCAGAUUUCCCACCAUUUCUAAGCUUGAAACCUCCCUUAAACCAUCCCAAAGCUCCCCAACUCAUAACCAAUUAAUCCAAACUCCUUUGGCAUGACUUAAACCACAUAGUUCCACAGAAAACUCAGCCUAACAUACAUUAAUCUCCUCUUUUCAAUUUCUGAAACUCAAAAUCUAUAAACACCCAAACCAGCCAUUCAAAUCCAAAUUUAAACCUUUAAAUCAUGGAUUGAAACUUACCUCUUCUGCUGAACCACUUCACCAAGCCAAAACCUAGCAAAUUCCCAAGCUUUCCUCCUUAAUUCUGUCUUAAGACAUCAAAACCAUAUUUUCCUCAAAACCCAACCAAAACUCAGAAUUUCCAACUACAGAAAAGAAGAUUAAAUGCUUACCUUAACCCUGUUUUAGUUCUUGAUUAAUUCCUGAGGUAAGCCUCCAAUUCCCCCACCUCAAUUCUCAGAAAUUCUAGCUUGAGUCCCUUAAAAUUUCUGUGUUCCUUUCUUUCCUUGUGUUUCCUUGAAAGAGAGUGAGAGUAAAGCUGAUAGGAAGAGUCGGUCUAUUUUCCUUCUAGGGGUUUCCUCAAAUUUUUCUUAUCCACUAAGUUAAUUCCCAAAGCUCGGGGUGCCGGAACCGUCCCCGAGGGCAAUAUGGUAAAAUCCCCCAAUAUUCCCACCUAGACAUCCUAACCUCAAAUAUAUCUCCAUAUAUUUAUUUUCAUAACCCGAUACCUAAAGUACCCCUAACUUGUCUAAAGUCAUAUUUUAAGUCCCGUUGUGACUUUUCCCGCCAUCUGACCUUAGGAUCGUCUCAAGUCGUGCUCUGCAGACCUGGCCACAUAAUAAUGUGGUUCUCACAUAUAUCACAUAUUUAAUUCAUAUUAUCAUAAAAACAUUACCAAACAUAUAAUUACACAUUUAAAUCACAUAAUAAUCCAAUGAUGCCCUCCAGGCACACUAAUCAAGGCCCUUAAGCCUCAUUAGCGAAUUUGGGGUCGUUACAGGCGAUGUGUACAUAUGCAGUCUGCUCGACUGCCACGGCUGAGGUAUCGCAAGGGAACUAGGGGUUGGACCCUAUUUUGCCACUUAGGUAGGCUUAUUUUGUAAUCCCUGAGUUGUAAGCAAUUUUUAAACUUGUAUUUUGGGAUCCCAUGUAAAGACUAAAGUUUUCUUUUAAUGGAAAUGUUUAUUCCUUGUCCAAGAUUUUUAAUACCUAAAACAUUAGUGGCUUAAUCACAUGUUUUAGUCCAAAUGACUCAUUUAGCGAGUCCUGCACUAAUUUAAACACACGUGGUAACAAGCCCUAAUUAGCAGGGCGUUACACUAUUAUUUACGAGGAUGUCUCGAAGGAGAAGUAAUCCACUCAACCAACAAUUGCAUCAUCAUCAAGGCCUAUUGUACAUCUUCAAUACAACCAACUGGUACAGAGGCUCGAGAGGGUUGAGCAGGGCCAGGCAAAUUUACUAGAGAAUCAAUCAAUGAUCAUGGCUCAAUUGGCCAAGUUAUUGUCAUUGGCGGAGGAUCGGUCAAUAAGAAAACAUCCACUGACCUCAGCAGAGCUAGAUACAAAGUUUGACAUUUUCCAUGUAGAUUACCAGGUUGAUGAUCAUCCAGCUACUCCAGGCCUCAAUAUAUUGAAGGCCAGUGAUGAUGGUACGAUUGGUGUAGUCAUUUUUGAGCCUGGGAAGGUUGCAGGCUUUGAUUUUAAGAGGAAGAAACGCAGGCCAAAACUAUUCCAAGACUACACCGACCCAACAAAUGGUUGCACCCAAAUAAAGAUGAGAUAGUUUUAGACCCUUUGAAGAAGUGUGUCAUCAAGCAAGAGAAGACUUUUGAGAAGUGACUACUCGGGAAGAUUAUCAACAAGCAGGAAUUGGGAUGUGAGGAUUGGGAACCAUAAUAUGGUGUGGUUCUUACAGUUGAAUACAAUCAGGAGUUGGCUUUGAGAUUCUAUAAGUACUUUAACUAAUAUGUUUUUUUUCCAAUAUGAAGUAAGUUUCUUCAUCUUUACGAAUUUUGUUUUAUUGUAGCAUAUUGAUGCGGCCCUACACUUAUUUUGUAGGUGACGCCAUUUAUUUCCAGUACAGUUUUGUAGGAAAUACAUAUAGCAUGAUCUUGUUUAUUUUUUGUAAUUCACAUAUUAUCAACACAACCAUGCAAAUACCUAGAACAUGUUGUUGGAGUUUUAUGCUCUAAUUAAAACUCAAAUUCUUUGUAAUCUCAUUUUAUUAUCAAUAAAAGAAUAGAAAUUAUUUUUUGACUUGGUCAAUCACUUUGCUCACAUGUUUUAUUUUCAUGAUUAUUUGUUUAAUAUAAAAUUCUAUUAAAUCCCGAGCAUAUAGCUAAUCUUAUUUAUAGUGACGUAAUCACAGUGGAAUAUAAAUAUGAUUAUAUGUUCAAAAUAAGUUAGUCCUAAGAUUAGUCAGUGCACAGGAUUUACACUGACUUGCCAAUCUACGAUAUGAUCUACUUACACAUUACAGUGUUAUGUUCUUUCCAGAACAUUAACAAAGUAGAUAAGAUCGGAUGUAUUCGAUACAUCGGACUGGACCGAUAUUGACAGUUGAUAAGAUAAGUAAACAUACCAUUAUUAUCUAUUCUAGUCAUAUCAUAUAGUUGACCAUAGGUCAAUUCAAUCUCAAUUCUGAGUUGUUAGUAUUCUAACUGAUUGUAUUAUUUGAGUUCUUUGACUUGUUCGUUACCAGCUUACCCUACGGACUAGCCCAUACUUACAUCUUGGGAACUUGGUAGUAUAAUUAAGUGGGAAUGUUAAUCGUAGAUAUGAACAUCUAUAGCUUCCGAUGAAGAAGUGAAACAAUGGUUUCCUUUUAGUUUAGUUCAAGGUGUUAAAUGAUAGAGAUCUCAUUUCAGUAAUUAAAUUAGUUUACUGAAAUAUCAUUUACAAGGAACUAAGUGUUUUAAGGAUAAAAUACAAUGAGGGGUAAAGUGGUAUUUUAGUCCUAUCUCAUUGUAGACCAUCUAUAGAGGAUUGAGUGACAAUUGCGGUUGUAACAAUGGAUAAUUAAUAGUGUAUCUAUAUUUGUUAUAGAAUGUUCUAUGAAUUCAAGAAUGCAAUUCCGAGUCUAUUGUGGAGUCACGAGGAAUUAAUAAGUUAGUAAAUUUAUUUGUUAGAUUUAUGAUAACUUAUUGGAGCUUGAUUUCAUAGGUCAAUGGUCUCCAUUGUACCUUGGUUAAAAUCAUCUAGAUAGUCUCAAUUAAUGGAUUUAAUUAUCAAUUAGAAUUAUCAAAGUUGACCAGGUCAAUUUUGGAUAGUUUCACAGAGUUAUGUAAUUUUGAGAAGAAAAGAUAAAUUAUGGCAGAUUUAUUAAUUAAGAUAAAUUGGUAUCUAAAUUAAUAAAUAAGUUUAAAUCAAUGUUCAAAUUAUAAAUAAUUAAUUUGAUAAAGGAUUUAGAUAGUUAUUUAAUUAAUUAAACCAAUAGAAAAUAAUAUAGGCCUUGAUUUUAAGUCCAAUGAGCUUAUAAUCAAAUGGGAAAUUUCACGGGCCUAAAGCUCAUGAUAAUUUCGACUUAGGGCUUCAAAUUGGCUAUUAUUUUAUUGAUUUUUUUAAUUAAAUUAAAUGACCUAAUUGUUGAUAAAUCCUAUAAUUAAAUCAAUAUUUUUUUUCAAAUUAACCUAAAACCAAGUUGAUUGUUGAUAAAUGAAAUUUAAAUUAACUAUUGUUAAUUGUUGAUAAUUUCAUUUAAAUUGACUUAUUUUUUGUUAAAAUUUAAUUAAUUUGAAUUUUUUUUAAUAAAUUCUAGAUAAUUAAUUGUGGUAUUUUUGCAAAUGAAAUAAAUUGUGGUAUUUUGCAUAAAUUCAUAGAAUUGCUCAUAUAGUAACAUUAUUAGGCCCAUCAAAUUAUAACAUGUCAAUUUGCACUAUAUGUGGUGUUUUUGCAAUUGGGCUUAGAUGCAUAUAGUGACCCAUAUGUUUGUUAGAUAUAUGAUAUUUUGCCAAAUAAAAUAUUCAUAAAAUGAUAGGUUUUAUUUGGGCCCAUUAGAAAAUGUAAAGUUUAAAUUCUUCUUUUGUGGGUGAUUCCACUUAUGAAGGCCAAUUUGCUUUGCAUGACUAUAGUGGGCCUAAUCAAUUAAUAACAAUUAAUUAAACGAAGGUUUAAAUUCCUGUCUUUUGGACCUUGUAUGGAAGAUAGGGGGUCUUUGUAGUGGGAACGACAUACUGGACCCAACCCUCCUCCAUACAAGCCUAAUUGUUAAGGCUCAUUUACCUGAGUUGGACUUAAUUGUAUAGGUUCAUUAUAUUAGUUAAACCUAAAUAUUUAUUAGCAAAAAAUUAAUUCUAAAUUAAUUGAAUUUGUUUCAAUGUGACACGUUAGAAUUAAUAGGAAAUUAUAGGACUUUGGUUUUAAAAAAAUUUAAUCUGUUUAAUUUUUUUGGAAAAACCAUAGUCAUUAAUUUUCUAAAAAAUAAAUAAUAACAACCCAAAACAACAACCCAAAGCCUGGAAAGGCUGUAAAGACGAGUGCACAGACACCUAAGGGGAAGAACAAGAAAAAUAAGAAAGGUAAAGAUAAGUGUUUUCACUGCAAAGAGAAGGGGCAUUGGAAACGUGAUUGCCCCAAGUUUCAAGUAGCUAAAAACAAAGCUUCUUGAAUCGUGGGAGGAAGUGAAUGAAGGCGACUUAAAGCUUAGAGUUGGGAACGGAGCGUUCGUUAAAGUCCAAGCUAGAGGAAUAGCUCGUCUGAUGUUCGGAAAUAAAUACUUAAUUUUAAAAGAUGUAUUUUUUUAUUUCGAAUUUUUGUAGAAAUUUAAUUUCAGUUUCCAUGUUGCAAAUAGAACAAUUUGUUAUGACUUUCACAAGUUCUAAUAUAUCUAUUUCUUUCAAUGGAUCACAAUUGUGUAUUGC